CGCGAAGAACCUUACCCAAGGCUUGACAUAUACGAGAACGCACUGGAGACCAGUGAACUCUUUGGACACUCGUAUACAGGUGGUGCAUGGUUGUCGUCAGCUCGUGUCGUGAGAUGUUGGGUUAAGUCCCGCAACGAGCGCAACCCUCGUCGCAUGUUGCCAGCACGUUAUGGUGGGGACUCAUGUGAGACUGNCCGGGGUCAACUCGGAGGAAGGUGGGGAUGACGUCAAAUCAUCAUGCCCCUUAUGUCUUGGGCUUCACGCAUGCUACAAUGGCCGGUACAAAGGGCUGCGAUGUCGUAAGGCGGAGCGAAUCCCAAAAAUUCCGGUCUCAGUUAGNUUUGNCGNUCGUCGAAACUCCGCUUCGAGGGCGCACCNCUUUACGAGUUCNGGGUUNGUNAAGCNACUNCCNUNUUANNANCUG
This 424-nucleotide ribosomal RNA is filed under the name Agromyces aurantiacus. Its description in RNAcentral is "partial 16S ribosomal RNA". The stretch from base 1 to 372 matches the Rfam family "Bacterial small subunit ribosomal RNA", at positions 960 to 1325 of the family's 1533-position model. Lineage: Bacteria; Bacillati; Actinomycetota; Actinomycetes; Micrococcales; Microbacteriaceae. The record is from RNAcentral.